UACGUAGGGGGCUAGCGUUGUUCGGAUUUACUGGGCGUAAAGAGCGCGUAGGUGGUUAUACAAGUUAGGGGUGAAAUCCCGGAGCUUAACUUCGGAACUGCUUCUAAAACUGUAUAGCUUGAGUGUGGUAGGGGGUAAUAGAAUUCCUAGUGUAGAGGUGAAAUUCUUAGAUAUUAGGAGGAAUACCGAUGGCGAAGGCGAUUACCUGGGCCACUACUGACACUGAGGCGCGAAAGCGUGGGGAGCAAACAGG
RNAcentral lists this ribosomal RNA (253 nucleotides) under uncultured bacterium. Its description in RNAcentral is "partial 16S ribosomal RNA". It matches the Rfam family "Bacterial small subunit ribosomal RNA", at positions 524 to 776 of the family's 1533-position model. The record is from RNAcentral.